CCUACGGGAGGCAGCAGUGAGGAAUAUUGGUCAAUGGGCGCAAGCCUGAACCAGCCAAGUAGCGUGAAGGAUGACUGCCCUACGGGUUGUAAACUUCUUUUAUACAGGAAUAAAGUGAGGCACUUGUGCCUUUUUGUAUGUACUUUAUGAAUAAGGAUCGGCUAACUCCGUGCCAGCAGCCGCGGUAAUACGGAGGAUCCGAGCGUUAUCCGGAUUUAUUGGGUUUAAAGGGAGCGUAGAUGGGCUGUUAAGUCAGUUGUGAAAGUUUGCGGCUCAACCGUAGAAUUGCAAUGGAUACUGGCAGGCUGGAGUACAGUUGAGGUAGGCGGAAUUCGUGGUGUAGCGGUGAAAUGCUUAGAUAUCACGAAGAACUCCGAUUGCGAAGGCAGCUUACUAAACUGCAACUGACGUUGAUGCUCGAAAGUGUGGGUAUCAAACAGGAUUAGAUACCCCUGUAGUC
Molecule: ribosomal RNA, 460 nt
Filed under: uncultured bacterium
Lineage: Bacteria
Description: partial 16S ribosomal RNA
Rfam family: Bacterial small subunit ribosomal RNA
Source: RNAcentral